UGGGGAAUAUUGCACAAUGGAGGGAACUCUGAUGCAGCGACGCCGCGUGAACGAAGAAGGCUUUCGAGUCGUAAAGUUCUUUUAUAUGGGAAGAUAAUGACGGUACCAUAAGAAAAAGCCCCGGCUAACUACGUGCCAGCAGCCGCGGUAAUACGUAGGGGGCUAGCGUUGUCCGGAAUCACUGGGCGUAAAGGGUUCGCAGGCGGAAAUGCAAGUCAGGUGUAAAAGGCAGUAGCUUAACUACUGUAAGCAUUUGAAACUGCAUAUCUUGAGAAGAGUAGAGGUAAGUGGAAUUUUUAGUGUAGCAGUGAAAUGCGUAGAUAUUAGAAAGAAUACCGGUGGCGAAGGCGGCUUACUGGGCUCAUUCUGACGCUGAGGAACGAAAGCGUGGGUAGCAACCAGG
RNAcentral lists this ribosomal RNA (403 nucleotides) under bacterium. RNAcentral describes it as "partial 16S ribosomal RNA". It matches the Rfam family "Bacterial small subunit ribosomal RNA", at positions 355 to 776 of the family's 1533-position model. The record is from RNAcentral.